CUACUGAAAGGAAUUCGAUCGUAUCGUUGCCCUUUUCCGCCCGAUGCCCUUUGUGGGUGUGGGGCGGACGCUAGGUGCACUACGUGAUCCUCGCAUGCCCUGCCUUGUAGCUUGGCUGUUGAGGCCCACGGAGUUGUUGCCCGUUCUCUCGGAUACGGAAUGCCACGCAUGGGUGUUGGGUCUCGGCUCUUAACUGCCCAAGCUAAGCAUUUGUCCCUUGACACGAACGACCGCUGUGGCCGUGUUGACCUCGUCGUGGCCUAUGUGCUGCACGGGGCUCAUGCGAUCGUCAGCGUCGUCGAG
Molecule: unclassified non-coding RNA, 303 nt
Filed under: Faguetia falcata
Lineage: Eukaryota; Viridiplantae; Streptophyta; Magnoliopsida; Sapindales; Anacardiaceae
Description: partial miscellaneous RNA
Source: RNAcentral